Molecule: ribosomal RNA, 501 nt
Filed under: uncultured bacterium
Lineage: Bacteria
Description: partial 16S ribosomal RNA
Rfam family: Bacterial small subunit ribosomal RNA
Source: RNAcentral
AUUGAACGCUGGCGGCAGGCUUAACACAUGCAAGUCGAGCGGGGGAAGGUAGCUUGCUACCGGACCUAGCGGCGGACGGGUGAGUAGUGCUUAGGAAUCUGCCUAUUAGUGGGGGACAACAUCUCGAAAGGGAUGCUAAUACCGCAUACGUCCUACGGGAGAAAGCAGGGGAUCUUCGGACCCUGCGCUAAUAGAUGAGCCUAAGUCGGAUUAGCUAGUUGGUGGGGUAAAGGCCUACCAAGGCGACGAUCUGUAGCGGGUCUGAGAGGAUGAUCCGCCACACUGGGACUGAGACACGGCCCAGACUCCUACGGGAGGCAGCAGUGGGCAAUAUUGGACAAUGGGGGGAACCCUGAUCCAGCCAUGCCGCGUGUGUGAAGAAGGCCUUAUGGUUGUAAAGCACUUUAAGCGAGGAGGAGGCUACUCUAGUUAAUACCUAGGGAUAGUGGACGUUACUCGCAGAAUAAGCACCGGCUAACUCUGUGCCAGCAGCCGCCGCCG